RNAcentral lists this unclassified non-coding RNA (4029 nucleotides) under Rhagoletis pomonella (apple maggot). Its description in RNAcentral is "zinc finger MIZ domain-containing protein 2, transcript variant X2". Lineage: Eukaryota; Metazoa; Arthropoda; Insecta; Diptera; Tephritidae. The record is from RNAcentral.
AAAUUUCUGCAAAAAACAGCUUAUGCUAAAACUAAAAAAAAAAAAACAAUAACAAAAAAUAAAAAUAAAAUUCUUAAGCAGAAACAACACUAAAACCCAGCCAGUGCAUAGUAUAGCAAACGCUUUUGUGUGCGGUUAGAGUGCAAGCGGCCGCAACAAAAAGUCAGUGUUAAUGUGUGUGUUUUUCGAGCGAUGCAACUGAUUGUUGACAAAAUUCCCAUGUUUUCGAAACAAACAACGAAACGUAAUUCCAAAAAAAAAAAUGAUGAAAUGAACGCCGGUACCGGCUCCUCGAGGGCGCCAGCCUCCGGGAGCCAAAUAUCACCACAACUACCCGACGUACAAACGCAGCAACAGCAACUACAACAGCAACAACAACAAAUACAACAGCAACAACAACUGCAACACCAGCAGCAAUUACAGCAGCAGCAGCAAUUACAACAGCAGCAGCAACAGCAACAACAACAAAUUCAACAACAACAACAAUCAGCUCAACAAAAUAAUACAUACGGCAACUAUCCCAGCGUAUAUAAUACAACACCCACACAGAAUGGCAUUACAACACCAAUUGGUACAUAUUCGAUGGGUGAGCCAGAUACAUUGCGCACACUAAAGAAUACAUUUGGUCCGAAUUCGGAGUUUACAACAACCAGCGGCUACGGCAACUAUAGUAAUAUGGUCACGGCUAAUGGUGGCGGUCUGCAACAGCAACAACAGAUGGAUAAUAUGAGUGGCAUGGGCAGUGGAUAUGGGCAGUUGAGUGCCAAUCAAAUGCAUGGUAGCAAUGUGCAAAAUCUUUACAUGAAUGGCAACAUUGGCCCUACUGGUAGUGGCAGUCCAAGUGCGACAAAUAUGAAUAGCACGGGUGGUGGCAUUGGUGGUGGCGCUUCGCAAGUGGCCAGUAAUCCAAAUGUUAUUGGCAUGAAUGCCGGUUCCAACAUGCAAAUGGGUCAUAUGAAUGCGUAUAAUGGCGGCGGCGGUGGUGGCGUCGGCGUUGGCAGCGGUGUUGGCCCCAACGGCAAUCCGAGUAUUGCGCCAUCUAGACAUCAAAUGAAUCCCAUGAACCAGAUGCAGAGCAUGACUAUGGGCGGUGGUCCACAAUUGACACCACAGCAACAGCAGCAACAACAAGCCAUGAACGGGCUGGGGCCCAUGGCUAAGAUGCAGGGCAUGGCGAAUGGCGGUUAUGCACGUCGUAAUACGCCUUAUCCCGCGCCACAGAUGCAUGCGGCACAAAAGCGCGCCAGCUACCCCUCUAUGGGCAAUCCGUCACUACAGAAUGUUCCUCCGCAAAUGAGUAUGCAACAUUAUGGCCAACAGAUGCACCCGCAAGCUGGCAGCGGUGUACCGGUGCCUAUGCAAGCGGGCGCCUACGGACGUGGCGGCCCCAUGGGCGGCUAUGCCAGAGCUAAUGCUAUGGCACCGGUCGGUAUGGGUCCCGGCGGUGGCAUGGGUCCCAGUGGAAUGGGUCCUGGCGGUAUGGGUCCCGGCGGUAUGGGUCCUGUUGGCAUGGGCCCCAGUGGCAUGGGUCCCGGCGGCAUGUGUCCAAGCAAUAUGGGUCCUGGCGGCAUGGGUCCUGGCGGUAUGGGCCCCGGUGGAAUGGGUCCGGGUGGCGUGAGUGCAAUGCAGCGUGGUAUGCCACAAGGUCCAGGCGGUUACAGCGCCGCUAUGGCGCAUCAACAGAAUCAAUAUUAUGCGAGCGUGAAUGGUGGUGGCGGCGGUGGCAUGGGUCCGGCUGGUCCGAGCUCUCUAACGAAUACCGGUGCGAUGUACCAGAAUCAAGGUUUCCAGCAAAAUUACCAACACAGCCCAGUUCCUGGUAAUCCGACGCCGCCAUUAACACCUGCCUGCAGCGUUCCAUACAUCAGUCCGAAUCCAGACAUCAAACCCAUUAUGGACAACUGCGAGGAGAUGCGACUGACUUUCCCCGUACGUGAUGGCAUCAUACUUCCACCUUUCCGCUUGCUGCACAAUCUCUCCGUCAGCAAUCACGUAUUCCACUUAAAGCAGAAUGUCUACAAUACGCUCAUGUGUCGCUCCGACCUCGAGCUGCAGUUGAAAUGCUUCCACCAAGAUGACCGGCAGAUGAACACAAAUUGGCCGCAUACAGUAACGGUUUCGGCUAAUGCUACACCCCUCAAUAUUGAGCGCUCCGAGAAGACGGGCCAAGCACUGCGGCCGCUAUAUCUGAAGGCAGUGUGUCAACCCGGACGCAAUACUCUCCAACUAACCGCUAGUUCCUGCUGUUGUUCCCACUUAUUUGUGCUACAGCUAGUCCAUCGACCUUCCGUGCGGCAUGUUCUUCAAAGCCUGCACAAGCGUAAUUGUUUGCCGGUAGACCAUUGUGUAGCCAAAAUCAAACGCAACUUCAUGGUCUGUUCGACGACCAGCGUUCCACUAGAAUCCGGUGCCGGCAAUAUGGAAGCGACAAAAUGCACCAAGAUCUCAUUAAAAUGUCCGAUCAUGAAGUCUCGAAUACGAAUGCCUGCGCGAGGACACGAGUGCAAGCACAUCCAGUGUUUCGAUCUGGAGGCCUAUCUGCUUAUGAAUUGCGAACGUGGCGCCUGGCGGUGUCCCGAGUGCAAUAAACCCGCGCUGACAGAAAGUCUUGAAAUCGAUCAGUAUGUCUGGGCCAUUUUGGAUAAACUGAAUGGCACUGAUGUGGACGAGGUUAUCAUCGAUUCGAGUGGUAAUUGGCGAGCGGCGCAAGGUAUACACCAAGGUUCACCGAUCAGCGCGAUGUCUGCACAAAUGCCCAGCCCAAUGUCGGGACAAAUGUUGCCAGGAGGACAAAUGCCAGGUCAAAUGGGUGGUCCAACCCCGAGUCAAAUAGGCGCACAAAUGCCCGGACAAAUGGGCGGUCAAAUGCCUGGUCAAAUGAGCGGACAAAUGCCUGGGCAAAUGGGUGCUCAAAUGCAAGGACAAAUGGGACCGAUGGGUAGCCAAAUGCCAGGACAAAUGGGCGGUCAAAUGGGCAGCCAAAUGCCGGGUCAAAUGGGCGGGCAAAUGGUUGGACCCAAUGUGCCGAGUAUUAAACAGGAGAAUACCUUUGACGAUCAAUCAAAAGUGAUGUCACCAUGGGACAACUCGCAGGCGAUGAGUCCCUACAUGCAACAUGACAUGAAUGCGGGCACGCCUAAUGUACCCGGUGCGGGUCAAAUACGCAGUCCCUUCGACAUGUAUAGCGGCGGCGAUGUCGGUGUUAAUGAUCAGCAUACAGGUGAUACUGGUAAUUCUCUUGACCAGCUUAAUGCAAUGGAGAAGAGUCUCAACGAUCAGAUGCCUCAUACGCCGCACACACCAAUGCAUCCGAUGACUCCCGGUGGCCCACCUAGCGUAAGUUCUGCGCACAAUGAGCCCUCAACACCUAAUGCGAAUAUUUCGAAUUCCUCACCGCAAACACCUGGCACACCCGGGCAACCUGGUGGACCGGCCUCAAAUCGAGGUGGUGCUGCAAAUGAUUCACACCAGCAGCAACAACAACAACAACAACAUACACAACAGUCAGUCCAGCAAUCGCAACAAGAGCAAAUCAUUAAUUCGCUAAUCAACUCACAGCCGAAUGGCUUGUCGAAUCUCAAUGAAACGGAUUUGAAUGCGGAAUUGAAUAUGGACAACAAUGAUGGCGCUGGGGAUUUGAAUAAGGCUCAUAUCUACCAGCAGCUCUAAAGGGUUCCUUAAGCUUAUUUAACAAGUAUAUGAAGCAAGUUACUGGGGGAGCUCAAGAGACACCACUUCGUUAUUCGCCCCCCAAACGGUUACGACUGCGCAGAUGUGAUUUGAUGGUCAAAUUUCAAACGGACAGUCAACUUAUAAAUUUCAAACUAUGCAUUUAUUGUCGGAAGUCUCUACUGGCUUGAUGCAGACGUAUCAAAGCUGUUGUCUCUGUGUUAAUUCGAAUAGUUUGGACCAAAGUGGAACUUUGUGCUCAUUACAAGAAGCUUCUACCAGAUGUUGAUCCCAUGGAAAUUCUUUCCUACUUGGACCCACAACCAGAUCUGAAUACACCGCCAUCGAGUGGCUCCAGCA